AUUGAACGCUGGCGGCAGGCCUAACACAUGCAAGUCGAGCGGAUGCAGGGAGCUUGCUCCUGGAUUCAGCGGCGGACGGGUGAGUAAUGCCUAGGAAUCUGCCUGGUAGUGGGGGAUAACGUCCGGAAACGGGCGCUAAUACCGCAUACGUCCUGAGGGUGAAAGUGGGGGAUCUUCGGACCUCACGCUAUCAGAUGAGCCUAGGUCGGAUUAGCUAGUUGGUGGGGUAAAGGCCUACCAAGGCGACGAUCCGUAACUGGUCUGAGAGGAUGAUCAGUCACACUGGAACUGAGACACGGUCCAGACUCCUACGGGAGGCAGCAGUGGGGAAUAUUGGACAAUGGGCGAAAGCCUGAUCCAGCCAUGCCGCGUGUGUGAAGAAGGUCUUCGGAUUGUAAAGCACUUUAAGUUGGGAGGAAGGGCAGUAAGUUAAUACCUUGCUGUUUUGACGUUACCAACAGAAUAAGCACCGGCUAACUUCGUG
RNAcentral lists this ribosomal RNA (484 nucleotides) under uncultured bacterium. RNAcentral's name for it is "partial 16S ribosomal RNA". It matches the Rfam family "Bacterial small subunit ribosomal RNA", at positions 30 to 507 of the family's 1533-position model. The record is from RNAcentral.